CUGGAGAUCAGACGUGAUCUCUUCCUUAAUGCCCCUUACCCAUUUAGCGCAUCCCCCCUCUCACAGUCCCUCCAGUAACCCGCUGUUUGUUCUCCAUAUUUAAGACUCUCUUAAUGUUUUGCCCCCUCCCUUUCCCUAAAAUACUUUGUUCCCUUGAUGAUACUUGGUGACUUUUUAUACCAGUCACUUAGUGUGUGUCCUU
Long non-coding RNA from Herpailurus yagouaroundi (jaguarundi), 202 nucleotides. RefSeq lists it as uncharacterized. NCBI's taxonomy places the organism in Eukaryota, Metazoa, Chordata, Mammalia, Carnivora, Felidae. The record is from RefSeq and is a predicted model, not a curated record. The transcript has 3 exons.